AGACCUUAACCUGCUAAAUAGCCCGUAUUGCUUUGGCAGUACGCUGGCUUCUUAGAGGGACUAUCCGCUCAAGCGGAUGGAAGUUCGAGGCAAUAACAGGUUAAACUUAUAUCACAGGCCUGUAAUAGUAAGCCUCGGUAAAUAAUUUACUAGUCUAAUACCUUUAUCUCUUUUGGGGAAGCCCCUUAUUAUCGGGAAGAGAGGCGGAGCGUAGGCCCUGCUGUGGUAUAGGCGACACUACCUGGUACGGG
Molecule: ribosomal RNA, 251 nt
Filed under: Xylariales sp.
Lineage: Eukaryota; Fungi; Ascomycota; Sordariomycetes; Xylariales
Description: partial small subunit ribosomal RNA
Source: RNAcentral